RNAcentral lists this ribosomal RNA (402 nucleotides) under uncultured bacterium. RNAcentral describes it as "bacterial SSU rRNA". It matches the Rfam family "Bacterial small subunit ribosomal RNA", at positions 355 to 774 of the family's 1533-position model. The record is from RNAcentral.
UCGGGAAUUUUGGGCAAUGGGCGAAAGCCUGACCCAGCAACGCCGCGUGAGGGAUGAAGUAUUUCGGUAUGUAAACCUCGAAAGAAUGGGAAGAAUAAAUGACGGUACCAUUUAUAAGCUCCGGCUAACUACGUGCCAGCAGCCGCGGUAAUACGUAGGGAGCAAGCGUUGUUCGGAUUUACUGGGCGUAAAGGGCGCGUAGGCGGCGCGGUAAGUCACUUGUGAAAUCUCUGAGCUUAACUCAGAACGGCCAAGUGAUACUGCUGUUCUAGAGUGCGGAAGAGGCAACCGGAAUUCUUGGUGUAGCGGUGAAAUGCGUAGAUAUCAAGAGGAACACCUGAGGCGAAGGCGGGUUGCUGGGCCGACACUGACGCUGAUGCGCGAAAGCCAGGGGAGCAAACG